Molecule: ribosomal RNA, 253 nt
Filed under: uncultured bacterium
Lineage: Bacteria
Description: partial 16S ribosomal RNA
Rfam family: Bacterial small subunit ribosomal RNA
Source: RNAcentral
UACGGGGGGAGCAAGCGUUGUUCGGAUUUACUGGGCGUAAAGGGCGCGUAGGCGGCGCAACAAGUCACUUGUGAAAUCUCCGGGCUUAACCCGGAGCGGCCAAGUGAUACUGUCGUGCUAGAGUGCGGAAGGGGCUACUGGAAUUCUCGGUGUAGCGGUGAAAUGCGUAGAUAUCGAGAGGAACACCUGCGGCGAAGGCGGGUUGCUGGGCUGACACUGACGCUGAGGCGCGAAAGCCAGGGGAGCGAACAGG